AGUACCGUGAGGGAAAGGCGAAAAGAACCCCUGUGAGGGGAGUGAAAUAGAACCUGAAACCGCAUACGUACAAGCAGUGAGAGCUAGAUUUAGUCUAGUGAUUGCGUACCUUUUGUAUAAUGGGUCAGCGACUUAUAUUCUGUAGCAAGGUUAACCGAAUAGGGGAGCCGUAGCGAAAGCGAGUGUUAACUGCGCGUUUAGUUGCAGGGUAUAGACCCGAAACCCGGCGAUCUACCCAUGGGCAGGUUGAAGGUUGAGUAACAUCAACUGGAGGACCGAACACACGUAUGUUGAAAAAUGCGGUGAUGACUUGUGGGUCGGAGUGAAAGGCUAAUCAAGCCGGGAGAUAGCUGGUUCUCCCCGAAAUCUAUUUAGGUAGAGCCUCGCACGAACACCAUUGGGGGUAGAGCACUGUUAAGGCUAGGGGGUCAUCCCGACUUACCAACCCUUUGCAAACUCCGAAUACCAAUGAGUGAUAUGCGGGAGACACACUACGGGUGCUAACGUCCGUUGUGAAGAGGGAAACAACCCAGACCGCCAGCUAAGGUCCCAAAGUACUAGUUAAGUGGGAAACGAUGUGGAAAGGCAUAGACAGCUAGGAGGUUGGCUUAGAAGCAGCCAUCCUUUAAAGAAAGCGUAAUAGCUCACUAGUCGAGUCGGUCUGCGCGGAAGAUGUAACGGGGCUAAACUAGUCACCGAAGCUGCGGAUUUGAACUUAGGUUCAAGUGGUAGGGGAGCGUUCUGUAAGCCGUUGAAGGUGUGUUGUAAAGCAUGCUGGAGGUAUCAGAAGUGCGAAUGCUGACAUGAGUAACGAUAAGGGGAGUGAAAAACUCCCCCGCCGAAAGACCAAGGUUUCCUGUCCCAUGUUAAUCAGGGCAGGGUAAGUCGGCCCCUAAGGCGAGGCGGAAACGCGUAGUCGAUGGGAAACAGAUUAAUAUUUCUGUACUUCUAUAUAUUGCGAAGGAGGGACGGAGUAGGCUAGGUGAGCACGGCGUUGGUAGUCCGUGUGAAAGAUUGUAGGCAGGUGACUUAGGUAAAUCCGGGUCGCUGUUAAUGCUGAGAGUCGAGACGAGUCUCUACGGAGAUGAAGUCAUUGAUGCCAUGCUUCCAGGAAAAGCUUCUAAGCUUCAGAUAUAUAGGAACCGUACCCCAAACCGACACAGGUGGUUAGGUAGAGAAUACUAAGGCGCUUGAGAGAACUCGGGUGAAGGAACUAGGCAAAAUAGUACCGUAACUUCGGGAGAAGGUACGCUCUCUAGUGUGAAGGACUUGCUCCGUAAGCACAUGAGAGUCGAAGUAACCAGGUGGCUGGAACUGUUUAUUAAAAACACAGCACUGUGCAAAAUCGAAAGAUGACGUAUACGGUGUGACGCCUGCCCGGUGCCGGAAGGUUAAUUGAUUGGGUUAGCUCUGCGAAGCUCAUGAUCGAAGCCCCGGUAAACGGCGGCCGUAACUAUAACGGUCCUAAGGUAGCGAAAUUCCUUGUCGGGUAAGUUCCGACCUGCACGAAUGGCGUAAUCAUGGCCACACUGUCUCCACCCGAGACUCAGUGAAAUUGAAAUUGCGGUUAAGAUGCCGUAUACCCGCGGCUAGACGGAAAGACCCCGUGAACCUUUACUAUAGCUUGACAGUGAACAUUGCUCCUACAUGUGUAGGAUAGGUGGGAGGCUUUGAAACCGCGUCGCUAGAUGCGGUGGAGCCAACCUUGAAAUACCACCCUUGUAUGCGUGAUGUUCUAACCUAGGGCCCUUAUCGGGCUUGGGGACACUGUCUGGUGGGUAGUUUGACUGGGGCGGUCUCCUCCCAAAGAGUAACGGAGGAGCACGAAGGUUGGCUAAGUACGGUCGGACAUCGUACGGUUAGUGCAAUGGCAUAAGCCAGCUUAACUGCGAGACAGACACGUCGAGCAGGUACGAAAGUAGGUCAUAGUGAUCCGGUGGUUCUGUAUGGAAGGGCCAUCGCUCAACGGAUAAAAGGUACUCCGGGGAUAACAGGCUGAUACCGCCCAAGAGUUCAUAUCGACGGCGGUGUUUGGCACCU
Molecule: ribosomal RNA, 2040 nt
Filed under: seawater metagenome
Description: bacterial LSU rRNA
Rfam family: Bacterial large subunit ribosomal RNA
Source: RNAcentral